GCCGGUCCGAGUUCUCGCAGCCUGGGAGGGGCGCGGCUCCCUGAGGGCCCCGGGUACAGCCUGGCCUUCGCGCAGCGGGAGGGCGUGGGGAGUUGUCCAGGACUCCGUGUUUGGGAUCGCUGGGGCCUCCCUCCCCUCUGUGGCCGCAGGAACGCGGGCCUCACCCGGUGCUCGGCCUUAACGGUGUAGGGGCGUGAAGACCAGACAGUCUCUGCGGGCAAGGACAGCGCGUCUUUGACCACGGUUUAGAAUUCCCAAGUUUAUUUUUAAGUUUGUUUUAAAAAAAAAGUGUCAAUCGUUGCUUCCUAGAUGGCCUUCUCUUAAAUGUAUAUAUCUCGAUGGUGACUUACUUGGGAAAUUUAAAAACCUCCGCCUGGGAUCGGUUCCUAUUUUCAGAACCAGCCUAGAACUUUCAAAUAACUUAAAUUUGAGCCAUUCCCUAUUAUUAGUUAAACGUAAAAUACAUGAGUAUGAGAGAGAGAAAGACAGACGGAGACAGACACUACAGGAGAUUGUACUAGGCUGGUGCAGAGAACGCAAAGACAGAAAGACAGUGCCCUCCUCAGACUUACUAGCGUGGCGAGAGGGGCGGCACCGGGCGGGCGCCGGGAAGCAAGAGGACAGAAGCCGGCAACCCUAGACGCAGUAAGAUAUUCUAGGAUGAGAAGCGCAAAGUGCUGUGGAGAUUCAAGGCUCCCACGGCCCCCAUCUGAUGUGGCCAAAGACUCCAGAAGCACCAUUUGGAAUUUAAUUCAAGCCGUCUACGUGGCCUCAUCUCAUCCAUCCCUGAACCUCCCAGGGUGAGAAGGAAAUAAAGCACCCACCCAGGCGGAGGAUGGAAUGAUGAUGUUGACGUUUUCUGACUUCAGUCAAGUAAAGCUUGGGCUCCAUCAACCUUUGCCCCAAUUCUACACUGAAUUCUCCUCUGCUCAAGCCCCUUCAUUAAUUUGCAUGUACCCUUAGCUUAAAACUUCCCCAAUUUUGCUAUCCUGGGAGAUAUCCCAGGAUAUCCCAGGACCUUUGGGAAAGAUCCCCGGUGUUCUCCUUACUUGCUGCAAGUAAUAAUAAAUCUUUCUUUCUCCUG
Long non-coding RNA from Orcinus orca (killer whale), 1084 nucleotides. RefSeq lists it as uncharacterized. The record is from RefSeq and is a predicted model, not a curated record. The transcript is spliced from 3 exons. Lineage: Eukaryota; Metazoa; Chordata; Mammalia; Artiodactyla; Delphinidae.